This 252-nucleotide ribosomal RNA is filed under the name Perreyia sp. SS1. RNAcentral describes it as "partial 16S ribosomal RNA". The record is from RNAcentral. Lineage: Eukaryota; Metazoa; Arthropoda; Insecta; Hymenoptera; Pergidae.
AUAAUAAAUUGUUUUUUAAUUAAAAACUAGAAUGAAUGAUUGGACGAGAAAUUACCUGUCUCAUAAUUAAUUGUAAUUUGAAUUUAAUUUUUAAGUUAAAAAUCUUAAAUAUAAUUGAAGGACGAGAAGACCCUAUAGAAUUUUAUAGUUAAAUUACUUUUUUAAAAAAAAUAAUUUUUAUAGUAAUAAAUUAUUAUAUUGGGGGGAUAAAAAAAUUAAUUAAAUUUUUUUUUUAUAAAAACAAUGAUUAUU